AUGCUCCCUUCGGCAGCAUAUAUACUAAAACUGGAACGAUACAGAGAAGAUUAGCAUGGCCCCUGUGUAAGGAUGACAUGCAAAUUUGUGAAGGAAGCUGGGCAUGG
Hyaena hyaena (striped hyena) is the source of this 107-nucleotide small nuclear RNA. Lineage: Eukaryota; Metazoa; Chordata; Mammalia; Carnivora; Hyaenidae. The record is from RefSeq and is a predicted model, not a curated record.